Molecule: long non-coding RNA, 549 nt
Filed under: Brassica rapa (field mustard)
Lineage: Eukaryota; Viridiplantae; Streptophyta; Magnoliopsida; Brassicales; Brassicaceae
Description: long non-coding RNA (BRAP_LNC006343)
Source: RNAcentral
UUCCCAGUGCCUGAUGGAGGCUUAUGGCUACCCGGGGGUGGAGGGCAAUCUUUUCCUCCUGGAGUAGGAGGGUUUGUCCCCGGAGGAAGAAGAGGACCCACAAUCGGCAAUGGUGGCAGUGGCAAUGUGGGUAGCCCUCCCACCGGAGGUAUGGGUAGCCCUCCCACCGGAGGUAUGGGUAGCCCUCCCACCGGAGGUAUGGGUAGCCCUCCUACCGGAGGAAGUGGUAGUUCUGGGACGGUCACUGGAGGUACAGGUAGCUUUGGGACUGUCACCGGAGGAACUGGAAGCUUAGGUACGGUCACUGGAGGAACAGGUAGCUUCGGAACUGUCACCGGAGGAACUGGAAGCUUAGGGACAGUCACUGGAGGAACGGGUAGCUUGGGAACAGUCACUGGAGGAACGGGUAGCUUGGGAACAGUUACAGGGGGUUUAAUGGAGGGUUUUCCACCCUUCCUGUGGUUGCAGGAGCCACAUGAGAAGGAUUGUUGGGGAAAGAAGAUAAUGCAAAUGAGAAUGAAACAGAGAGAAAGAGAUGAUAGUUUGGAU